This 127-nucleotide ribosomal RNA is filed under the name Carlito syrichta (Philippine tarsier). The record is from RNAcentral. Lineage: Eukaryota; Metazoa; Chordata; Mammalia; Primates; Tarsiidae.
UGGUAUGGUUGUCUUCCCUGUUGUUCCCUGUUGAAAUAAAAGCGUCUAAAGGGCAGAAGCUAAGCCAGGUGAGACCAGAUGACUACUUGGAUGGGAGACUGCCAGGAAAUACCAGGUGCUAUAGGCU